UCUCAGGUAAUCACUAAAAGAAUAAUAAAUGAGUUUAUGACUUCUAGAAUGAUUUCUAAGCUGACAGAAAACAAUAAAAGGAUUUUUUAAAUACCCCAUCAAUCCAAAAGAAGGCAAGAAAAGAAUCAUACAAUUGAUAAUAACAGAAAGCAUACAAGACAUUAGAUUUAAACCCAAAGAUAAAGCAAAAACAAAAUAAAGUGAUUUCAAUAUCCCUGAAUUUGUGUUUCACAUAUAUUCACGUAAAUAAAAUCCUUUCCAACCUUUAGCCUCUCCCUUAGACUAUCUCGUUCUGUGGUCAUUCUUCGUAAAUCAGUGAAGGCUACAUCUCUUUCAGUCUCCACUCGCCGGAGAAUAGCAUGUGCCGUUGUUGAUUUAGGACUCUUACAGCUUUUCAUCAUUUCUCGUCGAAGUCGGGUAAUUUCU
RNAcentral lists this long non-coding RNA (426 nucleotides) under Pan troglodytes (chimpanzee). RNAcentral's name for it is "long non-coding RNA NONPTRT010232". Lineage: Eukaryota; Metazoa; Chordata; Mammalia; Primates; Hominidae. The record is from RNAcentral.